CUAUAUAUAUAUAUAUACAUAUACAGUGAGCGUAGUAUAUAUUUGUAUCACUGGAAGAAAAGCCCAUCUUCCUUACCUUUUUCUGUUCCCCUUCUGCCUGUAGACACCAGUUGUGGGGAAGUGGGAUUAGGAGGAAUUUGGAUGACGGUAAAAGGAAAAACAAGACAAAUUAACAAUUCAAAGGAAUGUGGUGGGGCGCCUGGGUGGCGCAGUCGGUUAAGCGUCUGACCUCAGCCAGGUCACCAUCUCGCGGCCCGGCUUUCCACAUCACUAGGCCCACAUGCAACAAGUAAGCAGGCAUAGUCUUUCUGGAAGAGGAGCACGGGCACCUGCUUGCUAAUUUCCCUCACUACCAAGAAACCUGAAUCAUCACCAGAGACCCCAAACAUAGGUAAGACCUAGCCCCUGGGUCUAGCCCCUUAGCUUAGGACAGACACAAAAGAGAAUGGUUUCUAAUUGAUUCUUGGUCCCUGAAGACACGUUAGAGGUGUUCUAUGUCCUGCAUUCCAUGCCUCCCAUCCAAAAACAGUAUUACUUAGAAAGGAUGUUUGGAGCAAAUUAAGGAGUCUGUGUUCAAGCUGUCCUAUCUCAGAAUACAAACAUUACACAAUUAAUGCAAGUUUAUACUCACUGGGGACAAAUUAGUAAAUAGAGAUUAGCAAGAAGAAAGCAGGAAAAAUCACCCGCAUUUCAAACACCCAGAGACAAACACUUUGAGCCUCUGGGUGUAUAUCUGUUCAGAUUAUAUAACUAACUAAAUAAAUAACAGACAAGUAAGUAGAUAAAUGUAAAA
RNAcentral lists this long non-coding RNA (793 nucleotides) under Felis catus (domestic cat). RNAcentral's name for it is "lncRNA (ENSFCAG00000042967.2)". The record is from RNAcentral. Lineage: Eukaryota; Metazoa; Chordata; Mammalia; Carnivora; Felidae.